UUGAACCCUGUGGCCUGAGCAUAGGCUCUGGGUCACGCGGUUUCUAGAGUGGAGGGAACAGCCUAAGGCUGGCCUCACAGAGUAAUGACUACUUCCAA
Molecule: non-coding RNA, 98 nt
Filed under: Prunus persica (peach)
Lineage: Eukaryota; Viridiplantae; Streptophyta; Magnoliopsida; Rosales; Rosaceae
Source: RNAcentral